UACGGGGGGGGGUAAGCGUUGUUCGGAAUUACUGGGCGUAAAGGGCUCGUAGGCGGCCAACUAAGUCGGACGUGAAAUCCCCCAGCUUAACUGGGGAACUGCGUCCGAUACUGGAUGGCUUGGAUUUGGGAGAGGGAUGCGGAAUUCCAGGUGUAGCGGUGAAAUGCGUAGAUAUCUGGAGGAACACCGGUGGCGAAGGCGGCAUCCUGGACCAAUAUUGACGCUGAGGAGCGAAAGCCAGGGGAGCAAACGGG
Molecule: ribosomal RNA, 254 nt
Filed under: uncultured bacterium
Lineage: Bacteria
Description: partial 16S ribosomal RNA
Rfam family: Bacterial small subunit ribosomal RNA
Source: RNAcentral